UACGGAAGGGGGCUAGCGUUGCUCGGAAUCACUGGGCGUAAAGCGCACGUAGGCGGAUCUUUAAGUCAGGGGUGAAAUCCCAAGGCUCAACCUUGGAAGCUGCCUUUGAUACUGGGGAUCUCGAGUCCGGAAGAGGUUGGUGGAACUGCGAGUGUAGAGGUGAAAUUCGUAGAUAUUGGGAAGAACACCAGUGGCGAAGGCGGCUUACGUGGUCCGGUACUGACGCUGAGGUGGCGAAAGCGUGGGAGCAACAGG
This 255-nucleotide ribosomal RNA is filed under the name uncultured bacterium. RNAcentral's name for it is "partial 16S ribosomal RNA". It matches the Rfam family "Bacterial small subunit ribosomal RNA", at positions 524 to 776 of the family's 1533-position model. The record is from RNAcentral.